AAUGACACCACAGCUACCCGAGAAAUUAAAUGCUCCCCAAUUAAGUUUCUUUCGUGGUUCCAUGGUUUUGACAUGUAACCCCUCCAGAAAACCACCACGAACACUCCCCUAGACCGCCGUUUGGACGAUCAUGCUCUCACAGCUCACACUUACCAGAGCGUAGGUGCGACGUUGCAUAAUUUAAAUCUAGCGACAUAUGUGGCUAAUUCACAUAUGAAGGCUACCUCCACCAUUAGACCACAGGGUAGCAUUGUGCGGUCAUCACAUAUCCAUACCUGAGUACUGCCGGAGAUGCAUAAAUAAAACCCCCC
RNAcentral lists this long non-coding RNA (311 nucleotides) under Sorghum bicolor (sorghum). RNAcentral's name for it is "long non-coding RNA (SBIC_LNC010476)". Lineage: Eukaryota; Viridiplantae; Streptophyta; Magnoliopsida; Poales; Poaceae. The record is from RNAcentral.